GAUCAUGGCUCAGGAUGAACGCUGGCGGCGUGCUUAACACAUGCAAGUCGAACGGGAAUUAUCUUAUUGAAACUUCGGUCGAUUUAAUUUAAUUCUAGUGGCGGACGGGUGAGUAACGCGUGGGUAACCUGCCUUAUACAGGGGGAUAACAGUCAGAAAUGACUGCUAAUACCGCAUAAGCGCACAGAGCUGCAUGGCUCAGUGUGAAAAACUCCGGUGGUAUAAGAUGGACCCGCGUUGGA
RNAcentral lists this ribosomal RNA (242 nucleotides) under uncultured bacterium. RNAcentral describes it as "partial 16S ribosomal RNA". It matches the Rfam family "Bacterial small subunit ribosomal RNA", at positions 15 to 240 of the family's 1533-position model. The record is from RNAcentral.